Monodelphis domestica (gray short-tailed opossum) is the source of this 726-nucleotide long non-coding RNA. RefSeq lists it as uncharacterized. The record is from RefSeq and is a predicted model, not a curated record. NCBI's taxonomy places the organism in Eukaryota, Metazoa, Chordata, Mammalia, Didelphimorphia, Didelphidae.
GCACUUCCUUCCUGCCGGGUGUGGCAGUUGGGUCUUGUGACUAGCUCUUCCUUCCUGCCGGUGUGGGACUGGCAGCCUGGUGUUGGAGGAGAGAGGAGCUUGGUCAGCCCAGUCUGGAGUGGCAUGCUCUUCUUGGUUCAGCCCGAAGACACAGGCUUCUGAAGCUUUGGGGUUUGGUGUCCCAUGCUUGCAGGCCCUCAGUAGGAAAGGAAGGAGGGAAGCAAAUAGUCCCUCUCCUCAAGGAGCCUACAUUCUGCCUGGAGGAUACUGCAUGAAUGCACAUAGCAUCAUCAAAGAAGGAGGGGAGAGGAAAGAAAGCACUAAAGGAAGCAAAAGGAUCCAGAAGGGAAGAUGAGUACUUCUUUGAUGUUUACAGAACAGUCCUUCACCCCCAGGUAUGCACAACUGUAUUGGAGGGUCUCACCUUUGGUCCAGUGAUCUAUUUUUAGAAGAACCACAAAAACUGAACCUUCCUGGACUCUGCCACCAGAAACAAAGCCAGCUUCCAAGAUGAUGACUGAACAAACAGAGCCUCGGUACAUGUCAGCUCCUCCUGAAAAUGGUCUGUUAAAACCAAAGUCUAAAUUACAUCACUUUGGCACAGCAGAAUCCACCCCAAGGGAAAAAUAACCAUUUUCUUAAAAUUUGACAUAGGAAACAGAAAGCUUCAUAAACUGUGAGACAUGGCGAGUAUUCACAAAUAAAAUAUAAUUAGAAAUGUCAAAA